UGAUUUUUUGUUCGAUGUCAACCUA
RNAcentral lists this microRNA (25 nucleotides) under Bombyx mori (domestic silkworm). RNAcentral describes it as "bmo-miR-3414-3p". The record is from miRBase by way of RNAcentral. Lineage: Eukaryota; Metazoa; Arthropoda; Insecta; Lepidoptera; Bombycidae.